Molecule: unclassified non-coding RNA, 394 nt
Filed under: uncultured Pseudotomentella
Lineage: Eukaryota; Fungi; Basidiomycota; Agaricomycetes; Thelephorales; Thelephoraceae
Description: sequence contains ITS1
Rfam family: 5.8S ribosomal RNA (bases 1-105)
Source: RNAcentral
GAAAUGCGAUAAGUAAUGUGAAUUGCAGAAUUCAGUGAAUCAUCGAAUCUUUGAACGCACCUUGCGCUCCUUGGUAUUCCGAGGAGCAUGCCUGUUUGAGUGUCAUGAAAUUCUCAACUGCCUUUUAGCAUUUAUUGUUAAAGGUGAAGUUGGACUUGGAGGAUAACUGCUGGCGCAACUUAGGUUGCUUGUUAGCUCCUCUUAAAUGGAUGAGCUUUUCUGAUGGAUCAUAGCUCAGAGUAGUAUCAAUGUGAUAAUUAUCUACAUUAGAUGUGAAAGCUGUGAGUAGAGCAACUUUUUGCUCCUACAGAGAAGGAAAUGUUUUGGGGAUAAUAAACCCAUAUACAAUGACAAAUCUGACCUCAAAUCAGGUAGGACUACCCGCUGAACUUAA